Molecule: long non-coding RNA, 200 nt
Organism: Xyrauchen texanus (razorback sucker)
Lineage: Eukaryota; Metazoa; Chordata; Actinopteri; Cypriniformes; Catostomidae
Exons: 3
Source: RefSeq, a predicted model, not a curated record
CUGACGGCGACUCUGAUCAUAUUCGGAGUGGUUCUCUGUGUAUGGAAUUGGCAAAAGAAAAAGUCACAUAGUUCCAGUGGCCCAGCUCACACUGAUGCUAAACUCAAGAGAAAACACACCACAUGUACCACAGAGGCUGCUGGUGAUUAUGAGGAGAUCAGAGACACUCAACAGCAGACUGAACCACACACACAGGCCAU